AGGGACAUGGCUCAUUGGUAAAGCACAUGCUUAGCUUGCAUGAGGUCCUGGGUUCAAUCCCCAGUACCACCA
This 72-nucleotide transfer RNA is filed under the name Camelus bactrianus (Bactrian camel). It matches the Rfam family "tRNA". Rfam says of the family: Transfer RNA (tRNA) molecules are approximately 80 nucleotides in length. Their secondary structure includes four short double-helical elements and three loops (D, anti-codon, and T loops). Further hydrogen bonds mediate the characteristic L-shaped molecular structure. tRNAs have two regions of fundamental functional importance: the anti-codon, which is responsible for specific mRNA codon recognition, and the 3' end, to which the tRNAs corresponding amino acid is attached (by aminoacyl-tRNA synthetases). tRNAs cope with the degeneracy of the genetic code in two manners: having more than one tRNA (with a specific anti-codon) for a particular amino acid; and 'wobble' base-pairing, i.e. permitting non-standard base-pairing at the 3rd anti-codon position. The record is from Rfam by way of RNAcentral. RNAcentral also lists the same sequence under 2 other names. Lineage: Eukaryota; Metazoa; Chordata; Mammalia; Artiodactyla; Camelidae.